UACGGGGGGGGCAAGCGUUGUUCGGAAUUACUGGGCGUAAAGGGCGCGUAGGCGGUGCUCUAAGUCGGAUGUGAAAACUCUGGGCUCAACCCAGAGCCUGCAUCCGAAACUGGAGUGCUAGAGUUCUGGAGGGGGUAGCGGAAUUCCUGGUGUAGCGGUGAAAUGCGUAGAUAUGCGGAGGAACACCGAUGGCGAAGGCAAUCCCCUGGACCUGUACUGACGCUCAUGCACGAAAGCGUGGGGAGCAAACAGG
This 253-nucleotide ribosomal RNA is filed under the name uncultured bacterium. Its description in RNAcentral is "partial 16S ribosomal RNA". It matches the Rfam family "Bacterial small subunit ribosomal RNA", at positions 524 to 776 of the family's 1533-position model. The record is from RNAcentral.